RNAcentral lists this non-coding RNA (45 nucleotides) under Trichobilharzia regenti. The record is from RNAcentral. Lineage: Eukaryota; Metazoa; Platyhelminthes; Trematoda; Strigeidida; Schistosomatidae.
AUCUAGAUGACGAGUCCUAAAUAGGACGAAAUGAAUGCCCUGGAU